GCUGGGGUGGCGUAACUGUGGCAUACGCGCACGUUUGAGGAGCGUGCCCUUGAUCGGAUGCGGGUUCAAAUCCCGCCCUUAAGC
This 84-nucleotide transfer RNA is filed under the name Endomicrobiia bacterium. RNAcentral's name for it is "tRNA-Leu". It matches the Rfam family "tRNA". Rfam says of the family: Transfer RNA (tRNA) molecules are approximately 80 nucleotides in length. Their secondary structure includes four short double-helical elements and three loops (D, anti-codon, and T loops). Further hydrogen bonds mediate the characteristic L-shaped molecular structure. tRNAs have two regions of fundamental functional importance: the anti-codon, which is responsible for specific mRNA codon recognition, and the 3' end, to which the tRNAs corresponding amino acid is attached (by aminoacyl-tRNA synthetases). tRNAs cope with the degeneracy of the genetic code in two manners: having more than one tRNA (with a specific anti-codon) for a particular amino acid; and 'wobble' base-pairing, i.e. permitting non-standard base-pairing at the 3rd anti-codon position. The record is from RNAcentral. Lineage: Bacteria; Pseudomonadati; Elusimicrobiota; Endomicrobiia.